Molecule: ribosomal RNA, 274 nt
Filed under: uncultured bacterium
Lineage: Bacteria
Description: partial 16S ribosomal RNA
Rfam family: Bacterial small subunit ribosomal RNA
Source: RNAcentral
AUACAGAGGGUGCGAGCGUUAAUCGGAAUUACUGGGCGUAAAGCGCGCGUAGGCGGCUUAUUAAGUCAGAUGUGAAAUCCCCGGGCUCAACCUGGGAACUGCAUCUGAUACUGGUAAGCUAGAGUUUUGGAGAGGGUAGUAGAAUUUCAGGUGUAGCGGUGAAAUGCAUAGAGAUCUGAAGGAAUACCAGUGGCGAAGGCGACUUCCUGGCCAAAAACUGACGCUGAGGUGCGAAAGCGUGGGUAGCAAACGGGAUUAGAAACCCGGGUAGUCC